CCUAACCCUAGACCUCAUUCUAUUACUAAACCUAACCCAAAGUCUAACCCUAACCCUAACCCUUAUUCUGACCCUAACACUAACCCUAGGAUUAAGCCUGACCCUAAUCCUAAACCAAACCCUAACACUAACCCGAGCACUAAACCUAUAUCUAUACCUAACUGUAACACUAGCACUAGACCUAAACUUAAUCCUAAAUAUAGCCAUUAGUCUAGCCCUAGACCUAAACAAAUUCCUAGCCCUAGCCCUAACAAAAAAAAUUAACCUAACACAAAGACUCAACCUACCCCUAGACCUAAACCUAGUUCUAAUUCUGGCCCUAAUGAUAAUUCCAAUACUAACCUGAACACUGAGCCUUACCUUAACAUAAAUCCUAGCUCUAAACCUUAUCUUAAACCAAAACUUAAACCUAACACAGGAUUUAUCCAUAACACUAACCCUCAAACUAGCCAUAAACAUAACCCUAGCACUUACAUUACACAUAGCCCUAAUGCUAGCCAUAAAUCUAUACAAAUCAUAGGCAUAAACCUAGCCCUAAGCAUAACCCUAGCAUUAACCUAACCAAACCCUACCUUAAUGCUUGCCAUAGUCCUUACCCUAGCUCAAACUCUAACCCUUACCCUAAGCCUAACCCUAUCCCUAACCCUAACACUAAUCCUAGCCUGAAUCCUAACUGUAACCAUAGCCCAAAUCCUAGAUCUAACUUUAUCCAUUACAUUUAACAUAACCUUAACCCUAAUGCUAACCCUAGCCCUAACUCUAAACCUAACCCUAACCAUAGCCUUGACUCUAACCCUAAACCUCACACUAGCCCUAACCCAGCUCAAACCCUAACACUUACCCUAAACCUAAACCUAACACCAACCCUAAGCCUAACCCUAAUCCUAGCCCUAAUCCUAACCAUAACCCAAUCCCUAACACUAGCACUAACCCUAUACAUUACCCUAAACAUAAG
Molecule: long non-coding RNA, 955 nt
Filed under: Marmota monax (woodchuck)
Lineage: Eukaryota; Metazoa; Chordata; Mammalia; Rodentia; Sciuridae
Source: RNAcentral